Molecule: long non-coding RNA, 1074 nt
Filed under: Ananas comosus (pineapple)
Lineage: Eukaryota; Viridiplantae; Streptophyta; Magnoliopsida; Poales; Bromeliaceae
Description: long non-coding RNA (ACOM_LNC021963)
Source: RNAcentral
AUGUUUUUCGAGUUGAGCACCUGUCCUCUAAGUUAUCAUUUGGUUUGGGAAUAAUCAAAAAGUGGCUAUUUCAGGGAUAGGUAUAAAUUGAGGUAUAAGCGGGGAUUAGAUCAAUUUUGCGCUUGCAUGAAAAUUGGGUUAUUUCUGAGAAUAAAAAAAUAGCGUUUGGUUAGAUAAGAUGGAAUAAGAAUGAUAGUGGAUUUUAUAAAUAAAAAGUACUUAUAUUAUCCUCUUAUUAUAUUUGAAUUUGAAUUUUUAAAAUUUUAAAUUUAUAUUUUUAAAUUUAAAAUUUUAACUUUGAAAUUUUAAAAUUUGAAAUUUAAAAUCUCAAAUUUUAAAUUCAAAAUUUUAAAUUUUAAAAUUCAAACUUUAAAUUUAAGAUCAAAUUUAAAUUUGAAAAAUAUAAAAUAUAAAAUUUAAAAUUUUAAAAAUUUAAAAUAUCAAAAUUUAAAGUUUAAAAUUUAAAAUUAUAAACUUUAAUUUUGAGAUUAUAAAUUAUAAAUUUUAAACACCAUUUUAAUUUUUAAUUUCUAAAAUUGCAAAAUAAAAUAAGGGGAACAAUUAAUAAAAUAAUUAUUAUAAUAAAUUUAUAAUUUUUUUUAAAUCUACUUAAAUUUAAUAAAAAGAAUUUAUUAUAAUAUUUAAAUAUAAUUUAUUAAAAAUUUUAUUAUAAUACUUAAAUAUAAAUAAUAUGUAUUAAUAUAGUACAAUUAAUAAUUUUAUAAUAAAAAUAAUGUAUUAUAAUAUAUAACAUAUAUUAUUUAUUUAAUUUAGUUUUAAUUCAAUUUAUAAUUUUAAUUAAGUUUGAAAUUAAGCAUUGGAAUAGCACUAUUCCAUCAAAAUGGUGGAAUAGCAAAUUUCUUGCUAUUCCGGGAUAAUCGGGAAUAGAAAGGUUUGACCGGAAUAAAAUAUUCCAGCCAAAUUUCAUCCCGUUUAGCGGAAUAGCGGAGAUAAAUUUCGCUAUCCCCGCUUAUCCCUCGAACCAAACGGGACCUAAAAAUACAGAAGCUCAAGAUGCUUAUUACUUUUUAACCACCGAAUCGACUCAAAAUUUGUGCAGUAUAAAAUAAAUGA